AGUCAAGGAACGAAGAGCAUACGAUGGAUGCCUUGGCGCGUUGCGGCGAUGAAGGACGUGGUGAACUGCGAAAAGCUCCGGGGAGCCGUACACAGGCUGUGAGCCGGAGAUGUCCGAAUGGGGGAACCCGCCAGUCGUCAUGGGCUGGCAUUCCUGGCGGAAUCCAUAGGCCAGGAAAGCGCACCUGGGGAACUGAACCAUCUCAGUACCCAGAGGAAGAGAAAUCAAACGAGAUGCCCGGAGUAGCGGCGAGCGAAAGGGGCAGAGCCAAAACCGUCUGGACGCAACAGGGUGUGUCCGAUGUCCAGGCGGGGUUGUGGGGGAUGUGGGGUCUUGACACACAGAGACCGCAGACGCAGCAUGCGCGACAGGAACGAGCCUGGAACGGCCGGCCAGAGCAGGUGAGAGCCCUGUACUGGAAGCGCCAGUUGGUCUGUGCACAUCACCCCGAGUACCACGGGACACGAGCAACCUUGUGGGAAGCUGGGAGGCCCACCUUCCAAGGCUAAAUACGUCAACGCGACCGAUAGUGAACCAGUACCGUGAGGGAACGGUGAAAAGAACCCCCGUAAAGGGAGUGAAAGAGACCCUGAAAUCGUAUGUUUACAAGCGGUCAGCGCGUGUCUUCGGAUGCGCAAUGGCGUGCCUAUUGCAUAAUGAGCCGGCGAGUUCUCGGUGGCAGCCAGGUUAACGCAGGAAGCGGGAGCCGGAGCGAAAGCGAGUCUGAAAAGGGCGGUGAGUUGCCAGUGAGAGACCCGAAGCCGAGUGAGCUAUCCAUGGUCAGGCUGCAGCCUUCGUAACAGGAGGUGAAGGGCCGAACCCACGCGGGUUGAAAACUGCGGGGAGGAACGGUGGAUAGGGGUGAAAGGCCAAUCAAACUCGGAGAUAGCUGGUUCUCCCCGAAAUUGCUGUAGGGUGAGCCUCUGGUGAUGCGUCAUGGGGGUAGAGCACUGAUUGGGUUAGGGCCCGUCGCAGGGUACCGUCCCCAGGCAAACUGCGAAUCCCAUGAACGGCGAGCCAGGGAGUGAGACGGUGGGGGAUAAGCUUCAUCGUCGAAAGGGUAAGAGCCCGGACCGCCAGCUAAGGUCCCCAACGAUCUGUUAAGUGGAGAAGGAUGUGGAUGUGCCCAGACAGCCAGGAGGUUGGCUUAGAAGCAGCCAUCCUUAAAAGAAAGCGUAAUAGCUCACUGGUCAAGUGCGUCUGCGCCGAAAAUGUAAGGGGGCUGAAACAGAUGACCGAAGCUGCGGAGGGGUCGCAAGACCUCUGGUAGGGGAGCGUUCUGUGGGCAGAGAAGGGAAGGCGAGAGCCGACGUGGAGCGCACAGAAGUGAAGCUGCCGGCAUGAGUAACGAGAAAACGGGUGCGAGACCCGUUCGCCGAAAUUCUAAGGGUUCCUUGGGCAAGGCGAAUCCGCCCAGGGUGAGUCGGGGCCUAAGCCGAGGCCGCGAGGCGUAGGUGAUGGCAAACCGGUGAAGAAUCCGGUACCACCCGUUGGUUGUUUGAGCGAUGGGGGGGACGGGGUGCGAGAGACCAGCCUGUGAGUGGUAGGACAGGUGGAACCGGGGAGACUGGCGUGGAGGCAAAUCCCCACGCGGAAGGUUGAGCCGGGAGGCCGGGUCAUUGGACCAGAAGUGGUUGCGCUGGCAUCCCCAAGAAAAGCCCUCUAGUGAGACCAAGAGGUGCCCGUACCCGAAACCGACACAGGUAGAAACGGAAGACCUCCGAAGGCGUAUGAGUGAACCCUCGUUAAGGAACUAGGCAAAUUGACCUCGUAACUUCGGGAGAAGAGGUCCCGCGGUAGGGUGAGCAGCCCGAGGCGGGGGCACAGACCAGGCCCUGGCGACUGUUUACUAAAAACACAGGUCUCUGCGAAGGCGUAAAGCCGCGGUAUAGGGACUGACGCCUGCCCGGUGCCGGAAGGUUAAGAGGAGGGGUUAGCGUAAGCGACGCUCUGAAUCGAAGCCCCGGUAAACGGCGGCCGUAACUAUAACGGUCCUAAGGUAGCGAAAUUCCUUGUCGGGUAAGUUCCGACCUGCACGAAUGGCGUAACGAUUUGGGCACUGUCUCAACGAGGGGCUCAGUGAAAUUGUAGUCUCGGUGAAGAUGCCGGGUACCCACGACUAGACGGAAAGACCCCGUGCACCUUUACUAUAGCCUGGCGUUGGGUUUUAGAGGAGAUUGUGUAGGAUAGGUGGGAGUCGAGGAAGCGGCCACGCUAGUGGUCGUGGAGACGCCGUUGAAAUACCACCCUGUCUGCUGUGAAAUCCUCACUGACCGCCGUGAAGCCGGCGGCAGGACCGGGUCAGGUGGGUAGUUUGACUGGGGCGGUCACCUCCCAAAAGGUAACGGAGGUGUGCAAUGGUGCCCUCAGGCUGUAUAGAAAUCAGUCGGCGAGUAUAAAGGCAGAAGGGCGCUUGACUGCGAGACGGACACGUCGAGCAGGGGCGAAAGCCGGUCUUAGUGAUCCGGUGGUGCUGCGUGGCAGGGCCAUCGCUCAACGGAUAAAAGGUACGCCGGGGAUAACAGGCUGAUCCUGCCCGAGAGUUCCCAUCGACGGCAGGGUUUGGCACCUCGAUGUCGGCUCAUCGCAUCCUGGAGCUGGAGCAGGUUCCAAGGGUUUGGCUGUUCGCCAAUUAAAGCGGUACGCGAGCUGGGUUUAGAACGUCGUGAGACAGUUCGGUCCCUAUCUG
This is a ribosomal RNA of 2689 nucleotides. It matches the Rfam family "Bacterial large subunit ribosomal RNA". The record is from Rfam.